Molecule: transfer RNA, 64 nt
Filed under: Mnais pruinosa
Lineage: Eukaryota; Metazoa; Arthropoda; Insecta; Odonata; Calopterygidae
Also listed under: 1 other name
Description: tRNA-Leu
Source: RNAcentral
GCUAUUUUGGCAGAAAAGUGCUAUGGAUUUAGGAUCCAUUUAUGUAAUGAAUUUACAAAUAGUA